GGACUACAGGGGUAUCUAAUCCUGUUUGCUCCCCUAGCUUUCGCGCCUCAGCGUCAGUUGUGGUCCAGUGCGCCGCUUUCGCCACAGGUGUUCCUCCUGAUAUCUACGCAUUUCACCGCUACACCAGGAAUUCCACGCACCUCUCCCACACUCCAGCACGGCAGUUUCGCCUGCAAGCUCCCAGUUGAGCCAGGAGAUUUCACAGGUGACAUACCGCGCCGCCUACGCGCCCUUUACGCCCAAUAAUUCCGAACAACGCUCGCACCCUCUGUAUUACCGCGGCUGCUGGCAC
RNAcentral lists this ribosomal RNA (292 nucleotides) under uncultured Acidobacteriota bacterium. RNAcentral describes it as "uncultured Acidobacteria bacterium partial 16S ribosomal RNA". The record is from RNAcentral. Lineage: Bacteria; Pseudomonadati; Acidobacteriota.